CACGUAGGCGGCUUGUUAAGUCAGGGGUGAAAUCCUGGAGCUCAACUCCAGAACUGCCUUUGAUACUGGCGAGCUCGAGUCCGGGAGAGGUGAGUGGAACUGCGAGUGUAGAGGUGAAAUUCGUAGAUAUUCGCAAGAACACCAGUGGCGAAGGCGGCUCACUGGCCCGGAACUGACGCUGAGGUGCGAAAGCGUGGGGAGCAAACA
RNAcentral lists this ribosomal RNA (207 nucleotides) under uncultured bacterium. Its description in RNAcentral is "partial 16S ribosomal RNA". It matches the Rfam family "Bacterial small subunit ribosomal RNA", at positions 568 to 774 of the family's 1533-position model. The record is from RNAcentral.